CUUCCGUUAAGGGAACCUGCGGAAGGAUCAUUAGUGAAUAUAGGACGUCCAACUUAACUUGGAGUCCGAACUCUCACUUUCUAACCCUGUGCACUUGUUUGGGAUAGUAACUCUCGCAAGAGAGCGAACUCCUAUUCACUUAUAAACACAAAGUCUAUGAAUGUAUUAAAUUUUAUAACAAAAUAAAACUUUCAACAACGGAUCUCUUGGCUCUCGCAUCGAUGAAGAACGCAGCGAAAUGCGAUAAGUAAUGUGAAUUGCAGAAUUCAGUGAAUCAUCGAAUCUUUGAACGCACCUUGCGCUCCAUGGUAUUCCGUGGAGCAUGCCUGUUUGAGUGUCAUGAAUACUUCAACCCUCCUCUUUCUUAAUGAUUGAAGAGGUGUUUGGUUUCUGAGCGCUGCUGGCCUUUACGGUCUAGCUCGUUCGUAAUGCAUUAGCAUCCGCAAUCGAACUUCGGAUUGACUUGGCGUAAUAGACUAUUCGCUGAGGAAUUCUAGUCUUCGGACUAGAGCCGGGUUGGGUUAAAGGAAGCUUCUAAUCAGAAUGUCUACAUUUUAAGAUUAGAUCUCAAAUCAGGUAGGACUACCCGCUGAACUUAAGCAUAUCAAUAAGCCGGAGGAAA
This 622-nucleotide ribosomal RNA is filed under the name Rhodotorula mucilaginosa. Its description in RNAcentral is "eukaryotic LSU rRNA". The stretch from base 187 to 340 matches the Rfam family "5.8S ribosomal RNA". The record is from RNAcentral. Lineage: Eukaryota; Fungi; Basidiomycota; Microbotryomycetes; Sporidiobolales; Sporidiobolaceae.